Molecule: transfer RNA, 64 nt
Filed under: Erotylidae sp. BMNH 1274780
Lineage: Eukaryota; Metazoa; Arthropoda; Insecta; Coleoptera; Erotylidae
Description: tRNA-Glu
Source: RNAcentral
ACUUUUAUAGUUUAAAUAAAACAUUACAUUUUCAAUGUAAAAAUAAUUUUUUUAUUUAAAAGUA